Non-coding RNA from Salmo salar (Atlantic salmon), 931 nucleotides. NCBI's taxonomy places the organism in Eukaryota, Metazoa, Chordata, Actinopteri, Salmoniformes, Salmonidae. The record is from RefSeq and is a predicted model, not a curated record.
CUGAUCCUAGAUCAGCAAUCUAACUCUGGGACACUGCCUGUAUGAAACCGAACACAUAGUUGUAAAGUGUAGUUACAGCAGGUGUUUACUGCCAUCUAGUGGAUGAUACCAAUAAAACACUUUAUUUUCAGGGUGGGGAGACGGCUGAUUGAAACCGAAAGUAAAGUUGUUCUUUUGUUCAGGAUCCAUUUUGAGACGACAGAGCAGAAAACACUACAUGGAGAUUAUUGAAAAAUAAAGGGUCAGUGCUCUAAAAUGAGUCUCUCUGGGGAGAGAGAGGAGGGGGGCCCUGCCUCUAAAAUGCAUCUCUCUGGGGGACAUGACACCAAAGCUAAGAGCGCCCGGCCCGGGAUAUAAACCAGCCACCUUUGGACCACAGGUCCAACUCCUGCCACAGCUCCAACUCCUUAGCCGCUGGACGAAAACCUGAGUUAAUCUUGAGAAAUUAGCAUAAAUUAAUCUGCCAAAAUGAAGACAAAACGCUUUGGAGACAUACAUGGUAUCACUUGUUAUACAUAAGUAUUAUACAUAAAUCAUUGCCAAAAGCACAAGACAUAUAUUAUUUAUGGAUUGACCAUAUAGAGAUAUAAAACAUUAUUUUUAACUACUGCAAAGCAAUUACAUGUGGCUCAGGAACCACUGACUCGCUGCAUUAUUCUAUUGUAUUAUCAAGACACCUGCUGUUAACUCUUAACUACUUAGGACAGCUCACGAGGUGUUCUAAAUAUCUGCCGACUAGGUGGGACUAGAGACUUCAUGCAUAGCUUUAAUUUAUUCCCGGAAGUGUCAAAUGUCUUUAUUCACAGCACUUAUACGACCACUUCUCUACUCUGAGACGCUUUGGAUAUGGGCCUAGAUCUCAAAAUAUUGUUAUAAAAAAAGUGGAACGUUUGUUUAACAUAAUAAUAAAAAAUGAAUAUUACUAAUGUAA